GGUGGCUCAAUGGUAGAGUGCUUGCCUCACAUGCAUGAGGCUUUGGGUUCAAUUCCUCAGCACCA
This 65-nucleotide transfer RNA is filed under the name Dipodomys ordii (Ord's kangaroo rat). It matches the Rfam family "tRNA". Rfam says of the family: Transfer RNA (tRNA) molecules are approximately 80 nucleotides in length. Lineage: Eukaryota; Metazoa; Chordata; Mammalia; Rodentia; Heteromyidae. The record is from Rfam by way of RNAcentral.